UCGCCUGUUUAUCAAAAACAUAGCCUUUAGCAGAACUAGUAUUAAAGGUACUGCCUGCCCAGUGAAAUAACUUUAAACGGCCGCGGUAUCCUAACCGUGCAAAGGUAGCGUAAUCACUUGUCUUCUAAAUAAAGACUAGUAUGAACGGCUAAAUGAGGACAAACCUGUCUCCUACACCCCAUCAGUGAAACUGAUCUCUCAGUCCAAAAGCUGAGAUAACCACACAAGACGAGAAGACCCUGUGGAGCUUAAAACACACUACUAUUAAAUCAGAAGAUCCUUAGUAUUUGUUUUGAGUUGGGGCGACUUCGGAAUAAAACAAGACUUCCGAGCACAGAACCACCAUUUCUAAUCAAGGCCCACAAGCCAAGAUACAAAUGACCCAGUCAAACUGAUCAACGAACCAAGUUACCCCAGGGAUAACAGCGCUAUCUUCUUCAAGAGUCCAUAUCGACAAGAAGGUUUACGACCUCGAUGUUGGAUCAGGACACCCAAAUGGUGCAGCCGCUAUAAAGGUCGUUUGUUCAACGA
This 531-nucleotide ribosomal RNA is filed under the name Scincella cherriei (brown forest skink). RNAcentral's name for it is "partial large subunit ribosomal RNA". It matches the Rfam family "Bacterial large subunit ribosomal RNA", at positions 1796 to 2587 of the family's 2925-position model. Lineage: Eukaryota; Metazoa; Chordata; Lepidosauria; Squamata; Scincidae. The record is from RNAcentral.